CAGCCGCCGCGGUAAUACGUAGGGUGCGAGCGUUAAUCGGAUUUACUGGGCGUAAAGCGUGCGCAGGCGGCCCGUUAAGACAGGUGUGAAAUCCCUGGGCUCAACCUAGGAAUUGCGCUUGUGACUGGCGGGCUCGAGUACGGUAGAGGGGGGUGGAAUUCCUGGUGUAGCAGUGAAAUGCGUAGAGAUCAGGAGGAACACCGAUGGCGAAGGCAGCCCCCUGGGCCUGUACUGACGCUCAUGCACGAAAGCGUGGGGAGCAAACAGGAUUAGAUACCCUGGUAGUCCACGCCCUAAACGAUGGGUACUAGCCGUUUGGUGCGCGAUAGCGCUGAGUGGCGAAGCUAACGCGUGAAGUACCCCGCCUGGGGAGUACGGCCGCAAGGUUGAAGCUUAAAGGAAUUGGCGGG
RNAcentral lists this ribosomal RNA (410 nucleotides) under uncultured microorganism. Its description in RNAcentral is "bacterial SSU rRNA". It matches the Rfam family "Bacterial small subunit ribosomal RNA", at positions 509 to 917 of the family's 1533-position model. The record is from RNAcentral.